AUUGAACGCUGGCGGCAGGCCUAACACAUGCAAGUCGAGCGAGCGGCGGACGGGUGAGUAAUGUAUGGGGACUGCCCGAUAGAGGGGGAUAACUACUGGAAACGGUAGCUAAUACCGCAUACUAUCGGAUAACCCAGAUGGGAUUAGCUAGUAGGUGAGGAAAUGGCUCACCUAGGCGACGAUCCCUAGCUGGUCUGAGAGGAUGAUCAGCCACACUGGGAGUGAGACACGGCCCAGACUCCUACGGAGGCAGAAGUGGGGAAUAUUGCGCAAUGGGCGAAAGCCUGAUGCAGCCAUACCGGGUGUAUGAGGAAGGCCCUAGGGUUGAAAAGUACUUUCAGUCGGAAGGCGUUACCGACAGAAGAAGCACCGGCUAACUCCGUGCCAGCAGCCGCGGAAUAC
RNAcentral lists this ribosomal RNA (402 nucleotides) under uncultured bacterium. RNAcentral describes it as "partial 16S ribosomal RNA". It matches the Rfam family "Bacterial small subunit ribosomal RNA", at positions 30 to 526 of the family's 1533-position model. The record is from RNAcentral.